This is a long non-coding RNA of Carlito syrichta (Philippine tarsier), 1406 nucleotides long. RefSeq lists it as uncharacterized. The record is from RefSeq and is a predicted model, not a curated record. NCBI's taxonomy places the organism in Eukaryota, Metazoa, Chordata, Mammalia, Primates, Tarsiidae. The transcript is spliced from 2 exons.
GGGUAUUGCUGGGAGAGACCCAUGGCCACUGACCCCUCUUUCUGGAGCAGGGUCUCCCAGACCCCAGCAGAGUAUCCUCCGAGGUGCAGCAGAUGUGGGCACUGACAGAGAUGAUCCGGGCCAGUCACACGUCGGCGAGGAUUGGCCGCUUUGAUGUGGAUGGCUGUUAUGACCUGAAUUUGCUCUCCUACACUUGAAUGAUGGCUCCUAGCCAAGACAUUGGCCUUUCCGUGUCCACCCAGGCUUGGUUUGGGCCACCAGAGGCCGAAGUGUGUUCCCUGUGCAUUCUGAAUGUUGCCUGCAUGCCUGUUUUGUCUGGGUCACAUUCACAGAUUCAAGUUCCUUAAGGGCUUACUGUGUUGCUUCAGCAUGAGCUCCUGACAGGGGCUGUCUGUCUUUGCCUGGCUGCCACCCAAUUCUUCUUUCUUCUACCCUAAAAACACUCCACUUCUACUUAGUAAGAAUCCUCGAGUGCCCUCUGCCCUCCUGCCAACACAUACACCCCUGUCUUCUGCCUGCUCCCUCACCCUCAGUGCAAUUCCACUACUCUGAUGCACUAGAACCUGCUCCAUCUAACCUGAAAGGCCAAGAUUAGGAGUUUUAAGAAACAGAAACCCCAUUUCUUCCUUUGCGCCCCCUAGUGGCCUCCUUUCCCUUUGUGUUGUGCCACAAAAAUAAAUGUCUAAACUCUUCUGAUGCUUGCCUAGGAAGCAAAGCUGAGGAUUUGGGUGUCCUGAGUUCCUCGGUCCUUGAACUAGCUCCUGGAUGGAUGUUCAAAUGGGUGUGCCCAUUAGGCCUGGGCCGGUUCCUCUGGCAAGGCUGGGACCUUAGAAUGAGAGCUGGGACCUGUCUGCCAUCUGACACAGCCCAAAGCACAUCCAUGUCCCUUCUCCCAGUUGCCCCUUUCCAAGAGUCAUGAUGAGGGGUCAACUUUGGUGUGGGGGUAGGUCCAAGUAAGGGUUCUCAUUGGUGCCUUUUAAGAGGCAGGGGUCCUCCAUUACCUUUGACUAACCACUGAAUGAUGCGGGCUGCUCUUCAUGUGAGAAGCUUGUGAGAAAAUCCUGUUUCCUUCUGGUUCUUCCUGGCUUUGCCUCUGGGGACUAUUAUGAAGCAGUACUGCAAUGUCUGGGACCUGGAAAAUUGGACAUGUGUGUGACCCAACAGUUUCCUGGGGGAAAUUCAGCAGCCUUUUAAUGGUCACCCUCUGCUCUCACUCGAGUUCUCACUUACUUAGUUCCACUCAUGUUCUGAAAGGGUGAUGACCAUAACCCUGUGUUCAGGGAGCAAUGUGUGUGUUUGUGAGUAAAGAGGAUACCACGGUGGCAGGGACCAUGCUUCAUUCACAGCUGUGCCCCCAGCACAGGGCCUGGUUGUGCAACAAGAUCAAUAAAUACCUGUGGAAUGAA